GCAGAGAGCUUGAGGGAUCUCCAACCUACUCCGAGGGGCCUCAAAAAUGAACGCAGGCCAGGUCAAGUGCUGAUUUGUGAUCAUGAUUUGAUGCUUCUUUGAUUUACCUGGCGGAACAGAGAGAGAAUUCAUGAACAGCCAUGGUGAGAGUUUAGUGCUGUGUAUCCAAUGACGGAACUGAGAGUUUGGAUAAAGCCAUUUGACUGCAGCUCAAAAGAGCACACUGGAGGGAAGAUCCAACUGUGAAGUAACCAACAGCAUUCCCCCAAUGGGUACAUGAAGAAGCGGGAUGGAAGCAAAUACAAC
Callorhinchus milii (elephant shark) is the source of this 306-nucleotide long non-coding RNA. RefSeq lists it as uncharacterized. The transcript is spliced from 3 exons. The record is from RefSeq and is a predicted model, not a curated record. NCBI's taxonomy places the organism in Eukaryota, Metazoa, Chordata, Chondrichthyes, Chimaeriformes, Callorhinchidae.